UAAUACGGAGGGUGCGAGCGUUGUCCGGAAUCACUGGGCGUAAAGGGCGCGUAGGCGGUCUGCUAAGCGUGCGGUGAAAGCCCGGGGCUCAACCCCGGGUCUGCCGUGCGAACUGGUGGACUAGAGCACUGUAGAGGCAGGUGGAAUUCCGGGUGUAGCGGUGGAAUGCGUAGAGAUCCGGAAGAACACCGGUGGCGAAGGCGGCCUGCUGGGCAGUAGCUGACGCUGAGGCGCGACAGCGUGGGGAGCAAACAGGAUUAGAUACCCUGGUAGUCCACGCCGUAAACGAUGGGGACUAGGUGCUUGGGGGAGCGACCCCUCGAGUGCCGGCGCUAACGCAUUAAGUCCCCCGCCUGGGGAGUACGGCCGCAAGGCUGAAACUCAAAUGAAUUGACGG
Molecule: ribosomal RNA, 397 nt
Filed under: uncultured bacterium
Lineage: Bacteria
Description: bacterial SSU rRNA
Rfam family: Bacterial small subunit ribosomal RNA
Source: RNAcentral